CCGGAUAACCGCUGAAAGCAUCUAAGCGGGAAGCC
This 35-nucleotide ribosomal RNA is filed under the name Alexandrium margalefii. RNAcentral describes it as "partial Bacterial large subunit ribosomal RNA". The record is from RNAcentral. Lineage: Eukaryota; Dinophyceae; Gonyaulacales; Pyrocystaceae.